RNAcentral lists this long non-coding RNA (893 nucleotides) under Pongo abelii (Sumatran orangutan). RNAcentral describes it as "lincRNA". The record is from RNAcentral. Lineage: Eukaryota; Metazoa; Chordata; Mammalia; Primates; Hominidae.
CCUCUUGCUCACCCUUGACUUGGAAAAACCAGUUUCUCUUUUAUUGUCUGUUGCUAAUCUCUAUUCUAAAAAUUCAGCUCAAUUCUCAACCAUACUCCAAACUCUCUCCUUUCCAGCUGCCUUUACUCUCUCUCCUUCAAUUCCACUUUCCUCUGCUUUCAUUUUUUUUUUUUUUUCAGACAGGGUCUCACUUUGUCACCCAGGCAGGAGUGCAGCGGCUCAAUCUUGGGCUCACUGCAGUCUCAACCUCCCAGAGGCGGGGUUUCACCAUGUUGCCCAGACUGGUCUUGAACUCCUGAGCUUAAGCAAUCCACCUGCCUCGGCCUCCCAAAGUAUUGGGAUUACAGGUGUGAGCCACCGCAUCCGGCCUCAUGUUCUUUUUCAUUAAAGAGAGAAAUCAACUAUUCAGGACCGGCCCCCACCUUUCCUCAGGAGUCAUUUCUGUUCUGCACAGGCCUGCUGAACUGGGUGCUUUAUAUAGGAAAGGACCAACCACCUCGAGCUCAGUUAUGGCACAAACAGUGGGACCUAGACAAAGGGAGAGGGUGACCAGCAUCCCAACUAGAUUUCAGUGGAGUGAAGUUCAGGAGGCAUGGAGCUGACGACCACGAGGCCUCGGCAGCCACCGCCGCUGCCGCCACCACCACCGCCGCCGCCGCCGCCGCCGCAGCAGCAAGAGUAACUCUGACUUAGGAAUAGAGACAGCCGGAGAGAAAUGUGAUCAAUGAAGGAGACAUGUGGAGUGUGCGUGCUUCUUCAGAGGGACUGGUGAUGGGCAGACUGGAAAAAGCACUGCAGAUGGGAACAUUAAUCUUUCUUUUCUAAAAUUGAUGCUAUGAAAAUUUGCGUUUUCUGUAACUUGUAAAAACUAAAAGUUGCUUGUCUACUGAAAA